RNAcentral lists this ribosomal RNA (465 nucleotides) under uncultured bacterium. Its description in RNAcentral is "partial 16S ribosomal RNA". It matches the Rfam family "Bacterial small subunit ribosomal RNA", at positions 28 to 507 of the family's 1533-position model. The record is from RNAcentral.
GACGAACGCUGGCGGCGUGCUUAACACAUGCAAGUCGAACGGAAAGGCCCUGCUUGCAGGGUACUCGAGUGGCGAACGGGUGAGUAACACGUGGGUGAUCUGCCCUGCACUUCGGGAUAAGCCUGGGACACUGGGCCUAAUACCGGACAGCAGACAUUUUUAGUGUGAUGGUUGGAAAGUUUUUUCGGUGUAGGAUGAGCUCGCGGCCUAUCAGCUUGUUGGUGGGGUAAUGGCCUACCCAGGCGACGACGGGUAGCCCGCCUGAGAGGGUGGGAGGCGACAUUGAGACUUAGAGACGGCCCAGAUUCCUACGGGAGGCAGCAGUGGGGAAGAUUGAUCAAUGGGCGCAAGCCUGAUGCAGCGACGCCGCGUGGGGGAUGACGGCCUUCGGGUGGAAGACGCCUUUCGCUAGGGACGAAGCUUUUUGUGACGGUACCUAGAUAAGAAGCACCGGCUAACUACGUG